RNAcentral lists this transfer RNA (65 nucleotides) under Pheidole obscurithorax. RNAcentral's name for it is "tRNA-Tyr". The record is from RNAcentral. Lineage: Eukaryota; Metazoa; Arthropoda; Insecta; Hymenoptera; Formicidae.
AGUAUUAUGUCUGAUUAAAGUAAUAAAUUGUAAAUUUAUGUAAGAAAAUUAAAUUUCUGAUACUA